UGUAUUUAAACACAGUGUGGGAAGAUUUGAUAGCGUUAUUAUUAGGCUUCUCUCUCUUCUACUCCACGCGUUGUACCUCUAGUGAAAUCAGCCACAACACGCAUAGACCGCUUUAACACUUUUAACAAUAUUUGACUUUGCUCGGAUUAUCCAUAUAAUCAAAGGAUUACUGAUUCCGGAUUAAUUAUCUUAUUGGAUAAAAUCUUCAUCACUGAAAACCUUUUUAACUUUAAAAGUUCAAGCAAGAUAACAGAAAAAAAAUGUAUUGGCCAGAACCCAGUGAAACAGACGCCAUUGUGGGCGAACACAGAUCACGUGAAGACAGGUACACACAACCAGCACGAGACAGGUGGUCUCCUGAUUUAUUUAACGAAUACACAGACUGCACGGACGCCGAUAUAUAUUCAUACACCAGUGAGAACUACUUUAAUGGCGAAGAAUAUGACGUAACAGCCACCAUCUUAACACAGAUCUUUGACGUCAUGAAUGUAUACGCCACUGAUGUUAAACAAUGUGUAACCAUUGAUGAUCGGGUCAACACGGGAUAAAAGAUAAUUAGACAAUUGAUUUUGCUAUUUUUACGAACCUUUUUGGGAUUUUAAAAUAUUGUCGAUUGUAUAUAACUGAGAACUAUUUAUCUAUUGACGAUAAACACGAACAAUACCACCAUCUUGGUUUUGAUAUUAAAUGUAAUCUGGUACUAAACGUACGCUUGUAAAUUAUUUCUUUGUGUAAAACGAAACUAGCAUAUUAUACAGUUGAGCUUCUCUAUUAGACUGGUGCUCGACUUCAGCGCGGUAAACACGCGCGGUAUAGAAGGGUGGUCUUAUAACACAGCGGGGUGCCCUGCUCCCAUUCUCGUAUACCGCAACCCACCUAGUAGCAAACCGUAAGUCGAUAACAUCCCAACAUGUGCAAUAUAUAUUGAAGGACACAAUUAAUAUCUGUAGGAUUUAUAUUGUUUAAGGUGACAAUGUUAUAAUAUUACGAUCAUAGAAUCUGUCCACUAUUGUUGUUAACAGUACAAUUUACUUUAAGAUAACCCGGAUGUUCACUGUGCCGUGUCUAUACGGUUCAUGCACGUGGUAAACAGAUUCUCAAUCUGAUUAAAACACAGAUCCUAUUUCGUUUCGUUUUUUAUAGUUCAAAAUUUCAUUUUACUUCUCUAUACUACACUAGGAUCUGGAAGAGUUGUUAUAUAACACGCAUUCUGGAUGAUGUGAGCGGUUAGCCAAUAAAAAAGGUCUGUUACGGCGAGUUUCCGUCGUGAGGUAUACGGUACUUUGUGUAACCCACUAGAAACAUCAACGCUGAUUGGUUAAUCAAAUGUCUGACGUCAACUACAACCGGACAGAUCUUUAUUUAGUAGAGGCCAUUGAAAGCAUAAAAAAACGAAACGAAAUAUAGAUCUGUAUUGAUUCUAAAACUUAGCCCAACCAAUUAUUUUGUUUAAUCAAACCAUGUUAUAAUAUUGCCCACCAUUUUGUUUGUAACAUUAUAAUGUACCCAAGAUAACCCGAAUGUUCAAACUAUCGUGUCAAUACUAUUAGUGUGAGUGGUAGAAAUAUUCUAAAACCUAACCCACAAACUUUGGUUACCUGUGUGAACUCAUCAAACACGAAGUGCUAUAUUUAUGUGUUCAAGAGAGAUUAAGCAUAUCUUGUCUCGAGCACCACAACUGUCCGACCUUUUGUUUUUAACAUUAUAAUUGACCUAAAGUAACCCGAAUGUUUACUAAAACUGCGAUUACCUAUGUGAAAUUAUAAAGAUAACUAGUGAUAUAUUCCUGUGUUCGAGUGAGAAUAAGCAUAAACUGCCCUGAACACAGCAACUGUCCAUUCUCACAUCUUCAACUUUUGUAACUUUUUAUAACUUUUUGUAAUUGAGUAGAAUAAUGUUAUAUAUUAUAAAUAAUUUAAGAUUUAAAGUUGCAUUAUGUAAGAUUUAGGUACAAAGCUGGACCACAAAGCAUAAACUGCCCCGAACACAGUCUAUUCUCACAUCUUCAACUUUUGCAACGUUUUAUAAUUUUGUAAUAUUUUACAUAAUGCAUCUUUAAAUGUUAAAUAAUACAAAAUUAUAAAACUUUGCAAAAGUUGAAGAUGUGAGAAUAGACUGUUGUUGUGUCCGGGGCAGUUUAUGCUUAUUUGUCCAGCUUUGUACCUAAAUCUUACAUAAUGCAACUUUAAAUCUAACAUUUAAAGAUGCAUUAUGUAAGAUUUAGACAAAAAGCUGGACGUUCUUGUUAUAAUAUUUAUUAUUUCUAAAAUAGAUCAUGAGAAAUGGAUAUUUAUGUUUGAAGUUAUGGCUGCUUAAAGAUGUAUCAUAGAUUGUUUAUUAUCGUAGCAACGGUAAUUGACAAUCGAGACUAAUACACCAUUUUUAAAUUAAAUUAUUAAAUGGGGACCGUGUUUCAAUCCAUUUAAAUCUCGGUCAUCCUAUGCUCUAGAGAGUUGUUUAUAGGCUUGGCAUGUGAAUAAAUGUCUAAAUAAUACAGCAGUUUAUAUAACGUUUGAAACCACAAAAAAGAUCUGCAAUAGGCAGCUUUAGCUUUUACAUAAUGCAUCUUUAAUUCUCCGCAAGAGCCGAAUCUCACAAUUUAUCAAAUAGUAUCUUAGUCUGCAGCCUAACGAAUCGUAAAUAUCCGACGGGCUUUAAACUACAAAUCAGGCGAUCUAUUAAUAAAUCGAUUUCUUUCAUCGCCAAACAAUUUACAACAUGAACUUUUAUAGAUAAUAAUCAUCUCUUGUUAUCUUAUAGUCGAUUUAUGAUCGACGAAUUAUAUACAUUUUUAAAAUUGUGGCCGUUGUUUUAAAAACAGUUUGAACUUUGUCAUAACUUUUAUCUAUUAUCUAUAUUGAAUUUGUUUUCUUGAUAUUAAAUGCAAAAUAGCGCAUCGGGACUUUCAUGAAUGACGCAACAGGUGCUGUCAGUAGAGGACAUACUAUGUAAUAAACUGUUUCAAUAUACCAUCUAGACUGUCCUGUCAGUACAAUAAAUACUAUAUACUUUUGUAUGUAUAAUAAUGAACUAAUGUAAUACAAUGUUUCAAUAUAUACCUUCUGGACUGUCCAGUCAGUACAAUAAAUACUAUAUACCUUUUUAUGUAUAAUGAUGUAAUACACCGUUUCAAUAUACCUUCUAGACUGUCAGGUAUUUAUGUAUAUGUAACUAGAUUUAUUUGACGUACCUUUGAGAAAAGGGUAAUAACUAAUUAAAUAGUCAAGGGCCUUAAUCAUGAACAUCUUGGAGGUGUUUGGUUGCUCAGUAUCUCAAUCUAGAUUGAUUUAUUUACAGUGUAUGUAUAUCUUGGCUUGUUAUAUAUCCCUUUUGAUUCGGCCGUAUACUAUAUAUUAUUAUGGUUAUGUGAAAUGGGUUUUCAAAUAAAUUGUCUUCCGAGUGGACGUUAAACCCCAUUUCUCCCUAUCCAUCUUUAAAAAAAAAAUUAAGAGGAACUAUUUGUUCAGAAGGAAAACCGUAUCACUUACUGUUCAUUUAAUAAUUCUUAAUCCCCCCCCCCCCCGCACUCACAAGCUGGCACUGUACAGUUUGUCUUCAGAAUAAAAUUAUUCAAAUCCCUAAGACUUCAAACACACCACCAUUCACUCUACAGUAUCCGAUCAGUUUAAAAAUAAGUACUAGGGUAGAUAAAUCUUUCAACGGCUAGGUAAAUCAAUCAUAGACUGUCAAUUAAAGUUUUCAUGAUUAAGUCCCUUGUUUUAAUGAUUUUAUCUGGAGUUCAGGAAAGUAUUUAUAAUACGUGUAAACACCAUCACAUUAUUCUAUUUACUUAGUCUAGAAAUCCAACAUAGAAUACCUAUAUUAUGAUUAUAACAUAAAUAAAUUAAUAUAAUCAAAUAUC
This is a long non-coding RNA of Patella vulgata (common limpet), 3862 nucleotides long. RefSeq lists it as uncharacterized. The record is from RefSeq and is a predicted model, not a curated record. NCBI's taxonomy places the organism in Eukaryota, Metazoa, Mollusca, Gastropoda, Patellidae. The transcript is spliced from 3 exons.